AGAUGGCGACCGGCGCACGGGUGAGUAACACGUAUCCAACCUGCCGAUAGCUCGGGGAUAGCCUUUCGAAAGAAAGAUUAAUACCCGAUGGUAUAAUUAGACCGCAUGGUCUUGUUAUUAAAGAAUUUCGGUUAUCGAUGGGGAUGCGUUCCAUUAGGCAGUUGGUGAGGUAACGGCUCACCAAACCUUCGAUGGAUAGGGGUUCUGAGAGGAAGGUCCCCCACAUUGGAACUGAGACACGGUCCAA
RNAcentral lists this ribosomal RNA (247 nucleotides) under uncultured bacterium. Its description in RNAcentral is "partial 16S ribosomal RNA". It matches the Rfam family "Bacterial small subunit ribosomal RNA", at positions 86 to 334 of the family's 1533-position model. The record is from RNAcentral.